Long non-coding RNA from Mya arenaria, 255 nucleotides. RefSeq lists it as uncharacterized. Lineage: Eukaryota; Metazoa; Mollusca; Bivalvia; Myida; Myidae. The record is from RefSeq and is a predicted model, not a curated record. The transcript has 3 exons.
GAAGGAAGAAGCAAAAAUGCUGUUAAGACGAUUAUACAGUUGCAGAAACAACAGAGAUCUCAGAACCAUCUCAAGAUGCUCUUGGUGCAUCAACAGAAGAUCAGAAGUGGACCAUGCUUAUCUUGAUGCUACAGGGAACAAUGGUACAGUUGCCCCAUCCACUGUCAUCUCUGAACAUGCUGAAGGGCUGCCUGAAGGUAAAUUCAUGUUUGUAUGUUGCUUGCAGAUGUAGACUUAUCUUGUUUCUCAUUAAAA